ACCUACCUAAUAUAUUAAGUAUAUUUGACUUCCAAUCAAAAAGUUUGCACUAAACAAGGUAAGUA
This 65-nucleotide transfer RNA is filed under the name Glyptotermes satsumensis. RNAcentral's name for it is "tRNA-Gly". Lineage: Eukaryota; Metazoa; Arthropoda; Insecta; Blattodea; Kalotermitidae. The record is from RNAcentral.